GAGUGGACUCUUGCUCUAUCCUGUGCUAUAGAAGUGGGAGAGGAGAUGUAAGGAAGGAGCGCACACCAGCAAGUGUGGUUGAUGAGGGACUGGGGCCUCAUGAGCUGUCAUCACUCCCAGGGAAGUAAAAGGAUCAAGGGAGAAAGUUAUCAGUGAUAAAGAUUUGGAAUUGUUGCUUGAUCGGAGUGACCUAAUUGCCACCUAAGAAGGAAGAAAAAAAACUGAGACAAAGAUAAA
This is a long non-coding RNA of Gracilinanus agilis (Agile Gracile Mouse Opossum), 237 nucleotides long. RefSeq lists it as uncharacterized. Lineage: Eukaryota; Metazoa; Chordata; Mammalia; Didelphimorphia; Didelphidae. The transcript has 3 exons. The record is from RefSeq and is a predicted model, not a curated record.